This 1722-nucleotide long non-coding RNA is filed under the name Cinara cedri. Lineage: Eukaryota; Metazoa; Arthropoda; Insecta; Hemiptera; Aphididae. The record is from RNAcentral.
GUGUUGAGCUAUAGGCGUGUGUAUCCAACAUAUUAUUCGAAUAGUUUGAUAAUAAUAUUACAAAAAUUCAAACCAGCAUAACAUAAUGAAUCAUUUUUCAAUGUUUUUCUUAGUACUCGUAACAAGCGCGUUAUCGAAAAAUGAAAAGUUAAACUUUUUUCCUAAUCUUCCAGUUGUAAGUAACUUUAAUAAUUCAUCGAAAUAAUAUUUUUCACGUGCGCAUAUUAUAUCAUUCAUAAUAUAACUAUGGAUUUUUACCUUAAAUAAUAACAGGGAGAAUACAAGGUGUAUCCCAGAGCUAUUAUACAAUGUAAACAAAAACAACAUCUUUUUGAAUUUAAUAUGUAUUUGAAUAGAAUAUCAAGUAACACUUCUGAAGUCAAAGGUAAUAUUACAUGUAUGAAACCAAUGGACGAUUCUGACAAUGUAAGUAUGUUUAUACAUGGUUUUUAUUAAAAUUGAAUUGUGCCGUAUUGCAAAUAAUGCCUAAGUGAUAGUUUAACUGUUCGUAAACUAUAAUAUUUAUGUUCAUUAAUAUUCAUCACAAUAGCUUGAAAAAUCAAAAACUAUUGAAAAUGUGUGUUUUAAAAUAUCCACGGAAAGGUGUAGAAUUUAAAAAAAAUUAUUUAAUCUUUUCGUUGAAUUUAAGAAGAUAUAGAAAAAAUGGAGAAAAUAAAUAAAUGACUAACUUCUUUAUCAAAUGAAAAAACCCGACAAACGAACUUACUCAAACNAAUCAAAUAUACGAAAAGAUGAAUAAUAUUAAUAGGAAUAAUUUAAUAUUAUUUUGAAUUUUAUUAAACAAAACAGCAAAUUAUUGAAAUCGUACCCAUAAAAAAAUAAACGUGAUAAUAUAUUAUAAUUACUAUAAGAAACCGUUGGACGAUUAACCUGAUGUUAAGUUUAAACAUUGAUUUAACAAGAUGUAUUAAAUAUUAAUUCAGUUAAUUUUAAUCUAGGGGUCAGAAAACUUUUUUAAUAAUUUUCAAUUUGGUAAAUUACUAAAAAUAUUAGUACUCCAUAUAUACGUAACUAGGUAUUACAAUUAUAAUCGCAAAAUGUUAUUAAUUUUUAAUUUGAAUUCACUAGGCGACUAUCAUAUCAGUUAGUAUUAAACCGGACAUCCGUCUGUAACUUUGAAAAUUGUGAUUAUUAUUUGUCUUAAUCAGAUAAUUCAUCGUAAUAUUACUAAUUGUUAUUUAUUGGCUUAAUUAAUAUUAAAUAAUACGUAUAAAAUGAAAUAUAUAUAUAUGUAUAACUUUGUUUAAAGAUAGUAAUAAUCAGUGCAGUCAAAGAUUCCAUCGGUGGUUGGAAAGACAAUGCUUUCAUUUACAAAAUUUCCAAAGCAUGUUCAACGUUUGAGAAAGUAUUUGGUAACUUGAGAACCACACUCAAUCUAACCACAAAAAAUAAUAAUUUUAAUCGGAAUUGUCCAUAUCCUGCAGUAAAUAUAAUUCGCGUAAUGUUAUACUUUAAUAUAUAAUAUUCAACAAAUAUAUUUACGUUUAGGGUGUAUAUGUAUCAAAUGGUUUUGAUUUUACAAGUUUCAUGGCAAAUGCGAAUUUACCAAAACAAUAUUUUUACGGAAUUUACAAAGCUCGAUUUGAAUUGUUCGAUAAAAAAAACAAUCAAAUUGGUUGUGUAAUUUUUGUCAUAGACAUUAAACGUCCCUGGGAAACCGAAUAAGUCUAUGUGUUGAUUUUAUACGUUUUAUUAUUGUUG